CACACACUGUUAUUCUUGUUUGGUGGGAGGAAUGGUUCUGUUACCUACUCACCCUUUCCCUCUGCAAUUUCACACUGUAAACUAUUGCUUUGGACCUAUGAAGACAUGGCUGCUGCAUCCUGUCAUCAUGUCUGUCUGCCUGUGAUUUGCUCUUGAGUCAGAAUUCAGAAACAGAUACAUCAUACUGCUCCAUUUCUGACCAUCCAAGUCCAACUGUGAGGUAAAAAGGAGAAUAUGAGAAGUAAACAUGAAAGAAUCACUACAGUCACUCAUAAAGAAAAAAUGAAUUGGGCAGAGUGACUCACCAGCCCAGAAGGAGAAGAAGGUUACAACUUGCAGUAGUGACAUGUUGACUGCCAGCUGUGUACUCAAGAAGUGGGGACCUGGUGUCUGGAUGUCUCAGGUCAGUGACAGGAGGGUGUGACCUGAACUUGGGUGAGGAAAGGAAUUAGUGGGUUGGGUGAUUCUUGGGCCCUUCAGUACUGGCUUCAGACUGAACAUUGUGCCCAGCAGGCUUGCCCUGUACAUAUUGAAAUAGGGCUGAUGGUCAUAGGGCUCUUUGCAUGAAUGUGAGAACAGGAAGGUGCCCUAGCUUCAAGGGAAGUGCCCAGGAGAUAUUUUAUGAACUCCUUUUCUCUACAUCCCAUUUUUAUAUAUUACAUAUUUAAUAAAUAUUAAUUUUUAUUGUAUCAAAUAUUCAAUAAACAUUUAUUUAGCUUUAAAAAAAUGUUCUCCACCUUUAUAGCCACCACAAUAAUCAGUAUAGACACUUGUAGUUGCAUUAUAUAGAUGAGGAUACAGACUGCUGAAUGGACUUCACAAACACAUAGUUGAAAAGCAGAGCAUGCUGGCAAAUAUACUCAUGAAGAAACUCAGAGAAACAAAAUGAAGAUAAAAAUGACAACAUCCAUGAUCAGAUCAUGAAGGACAACAGCUAUAAAUCAUUAUGGUUUUUUAAUUUCCAGAUUUUUUUAUUUGCAGAUACAUUGAUAUGAAUAUGUUUCCAUGAACUACAAAUAUAUUUAUAUGUACAGAAUUUUGAUUUCUUUAUUCAGUUCAUCAAGUAUUCUGAAAAACUUCCCAUAGCACUGAGGCAUUUUUUGAUGUCUACAACUAUUAAUGGUCUGUGUUUAUCAUUUAGGACCUGUCUGUCUUGUGAAAAUUUCCUCAUCCCUUUAAGCCUCACAUACUUCCUCUGAAAAUGGCUGCAAUAAUUAUACAUAUAUCGAAAUUUUAUGCAAAUUUAAUAAAGCAUAUUGAUGGUUUCUGAGA
Molecule: long non-coding RNA, 1272 nt
Organism: Marmota flaviventris (yellow-bellied marmot)
Lineage: Eukaryota; Metazoa; Chordata; Mammalia; Rodentia; Sciuridae
Source: RefSeq, a predicted model, not a curated record